GAGACGCUUCAGCUUGCUGGAGCUAGUAAAGUGGCGUACGGGUGAGUAACGCGUGGGUAAUCUAUCUCUGAAUUGGGGAUAACAUUGCGAAAGCGAUGCUAAUACCGGAUAAAAUCCAUUAGACCUCGGUUUUUAUGGAUCAAAGGUGGCCUCUACAUGUAAGCUACUGUUUGGAGACGAGCUCGCGUACCAUUAGCUUGUUGGUAGGGUAAUGGCUUACCAAGGCAACGAUGGUUAGCUGGUCUGAGAGGAUGAUCAGCCACACUGGAACUGACACACGGUCCAGACUCCUACGGGAGGCAGCAGUGAGGAAUUUUGCGCAAUGGGGGAAACCCUGACGCAGCAACGCCGCGUGAGUGAUGAAGGCUUUCGGGUCGUAAAGCUCUGUCAAGUGGGAAGAACCCGUGCCGUACAAAUAGUGCGGUGCGCUGACGGUACCACUGAAGGAAGCACCGGCUAACUCCGUGCCAGCAGCCGCGGUAAUACGGGGGGUGCAAGCGUUAUUCGGAAUCAUUGGGCGUAAAGAGCGCGUAGGCGGUCUUCUAUGUCAGGUGUGAA
This 558-nucleotide ribosomal RNA is filed under the name uncultured delta proteobacterium. Its description in RNAcentral is "bacterial SSU rRNA". It matches the Rfam family "Bacterial small subunit ribosomal RNA", at positions 68 to 598 of the family's 1533-position model. The record is from RNAcentral. Lineage: Bacteria; Deltaproteobacteria.